GCAAGUCGAGGGGUAACAUAGAGGAGCUUGCUUUUCUGAUGACGACCGGCGCACGGGUGCGUAACGCGUAUACAAUCUACCUUUUGCUGAGGGAUAGCCCAGAGAAAUUUGGAUUAAUACCUCAUGGUAUUGUUUAUUGGCAUCAAUAAACAAUUAAAGGUUACGGCAAAAGAUGAGUAUGCGUUCUAUUAGCUAGUAGGUAAGGUAACGGCUUACCUAGGCAACGAUAGAUAGGGGCCCUGAGAGGGGGAUC
Molecule: ribosomal RNA, 253 nt
Filed under: uncultured bacterium
Lineage: Bacteria
Description: partial 16S ribosomal RNA
Rfam family: Bacterial small subunit ribosomal RNA
Source: RNAcentral